This 910-nucleotide ribosomal RNA is filed under the name Preussia intermedia. RNAcentral describes it as "LSU rRNA". It matches the Rfam family "Eukaryotic large subunit ribosomal RNA", at positions 38 to 966 of the family's 3401-position model. Lineage: Eukaryota; Fungi; Ascomycota; Dothideomycetes; Pleosporales; Sporormiaceae. The record is from RNAcentral.
GCAUAUCAUAAGCGGAGGAAAAGAAACCCAACAGGGAUUGCCCUAGUAACGGCGAGUGAAGCGGCAACAGCUCAAAUUUGAAAUCUGGCUCUUUCAGGGUCCGAGUUGUAAUUUGUAGAGGGUGCUUUGGAGUUGACUGUGGUCUAAGUUCCUUGGAACAGGACGUCGCAGAGGGUGAGAAUCCCGUAUGUGGCCGCCAGUCUUCGCCGUGUAAAGCCCCUUCGACGAGUCGAGUUGUUUGGGAAUGCAGCUCUAAAUGGGAGGUAAAUUUCUUCUAAAGCUAAAUAUUGGCCAGAGACCGAUAGCGCACAAGUAGAGUGAUCGAAAGAUGAAAAGCACUUUGGAAAGAGAGUCAAAAAGCACGUGAAAUUGUUGAAAGGGAAGCGCUUGCAGCCAGACUUGCCUGUAGUUGCUCAUCCGGGCUUUUGCCCGGUGCACUCUUCUAUAGGCAGGCCAGCAUCAGUCCUGGCGGUUGGAUAAAUGCCUGUUGAAUGUACCUCUCCUCGGGGAGGACUUAUAGCUUCGGGCGGCAUACAACCAGCUGGGAUUGAGGUCCGCGCAUCUGCUAGGAUGCUGGCGUAAUGGCUGUAAGCGGCCCGUCUUGAAACACGGACCAAGGAGUCUAACAUCUAUGCGAGUGUUUGGGUGUCAAGCCCGAGCGCGUAAUGAAAGUGAACGGAGGUGGGAACCCCUCGGGGUGCACCAUCGACCGAUCCUGAUGUCUUCGGAUGGAUUUGAGUAAGAGCAUAGCUGUUGGGACCCGAAAGAUGGUGAACUAUGCCUGAAUAGGGUGAAGCCAGAGGAAACUCUGGUGGAGGCUCGCAGCGGUUCUGACGUGCAAAUCGAUCGUCAAAUUUGGGCAUAGGGGCGAAAGACUAAUCGAACUAUCUAGUAGCUGGGUUCUGCGAAG